This 253-nucleotide ribosomal RNA is filed under the name uncultured bacterium. RNAcentral's name for it is "partial 16S ribosomal RNA". It matches the Rfam family "Bacterial small subunit ribosomal RNA", at positions 524 to 776 of the family's 1533-position model. The record is from RNAcentral.
UACGGAGGGUGCAAGCAUUAAUCGGAUUUAUUGGGCGUAAAGCGCACGUAGGCGGAUUGGAAAGUUGGAGGUGAAAUCCCAGGGCUCAACCUUGGAACUGCCUUCAAAACUCCCAGUCUUGAGGUCGAGAGAGGUAAGUGGAAUUCCGAGUGUAGAGGUGAAAUUCGUAGAUAUUCGGAGGAACACCAGUGGCGAAGGCGGCUUACUGGCUCGAUACUGACGCUGAGGUGCGAAAGCGUGGGGAGCAAACAGG